GGGGAAUAUUGCACAAUGGGGGAAACCCUGAUGCAGCGAUGCCGCGUGGAGGAAGAAGGUUUUCGGAUUGUAAACUCCUGUCUUCAGGGACGAUAAUGACGGUACCUGAGGAGGAAGCACCGGCUAACUACGUGCCAGCAGCCGCGGUAAUACGUAGGGUGCAAGCGUUGUCCGGAAUUACUGGGUGUAAAGGGAGUGUAGGCGGGAUAGCAAGUCAGAUGUGAAAACUAUGGGCUCAACCCAUAGACUGCAUUUGAAACUGCUGUUCUUGAGUGAAGUAGAGGUUGGCGGAAUUCCUAGUGUAGCGGUGAAAUGCGUAGAUAUUAGGAGGAACAUCAGUGGCGAAGGCGGCCAACUGGGCUUUUACUGACGCUGAGGCUCGAAAGCGUGGGGAGCAAAC
Molecule: ribosomal RNA, 400 nt
Filed under: uncultured bacterium
Lineage: Bacteria
Description: bacterial SSU rRNA
Rfam family: Bacterial small subunit ribosomal RNA
Source: RNAcentral